RNAcentral lists this ribosomal RNA (156 nucleotides) under Tolypocladium album. RNAcentral describes it as "5.8S ribosomal RNA". It matches the Rfam family "5.8S ribosomal RNA". Rfam says of the family: 5.8S ribosomal RNA (5.8S rRNA) is a component of the large subunit of the eukaryotic ribosome. It is transcribed by RNA polymerase I as part of the 45S precursor that also contains 18S and 28S rRNA. Functionally, it is thought that 5.8S rRNA may be involved in ribosome translocation. The record is from RNAcentral. RNAcentral also lists the same sequence under 2 other names. Lineage: Eukaryota; Fungi; Ascomycota; Sordariomycetes; Hypocreales; Ophiocordycipitaceae.
AACUUUCAACAACGGAUCUCUUGGCUCUGGCAUCGAUGAAGAACGCAGCGAAAUGCGAUAAGUAAUGUGAAUUGCAGAAUUCAGUGAAUCAUCGAAUCUUUGAACGCACAUUGCGCCCGCCAGCAUUCUGGCGGGCAUGCCUGUCCGAGCGUCAUU